This 809-nucleotide unclassified non-coding RNA is filed under the name Hevea brasiliensis (rubber tree). Lineage: Eukaryota; Viridiplantae; Streptophyta; Magnoliopsida; Malpighiales; Euphorbiaceae. The record is from RNAcentral.
GUAAACCCUAGAUGUCCUGUUUGUGGGGAAUUAGAUCCUCUUCCUCGCUUAUUUUUCACUUGCCCACGUUCAGCUGGAGUUUUGUUCAAUAGUCCACUGCGGUUCAGAUCAACCUUGAACCAAUUUCCUAAUAUCAAAGAUUGCCAGUCUGCUUUGGUUAAGCCUUUGGAAUCUUAUCCUGAAGGGAAAGUGUUUAUUCAGAUGGCAAUGUUCUUGAUGUGGCAUCUGUGGAAGAGCAGGAAUGCUCUUAUUUUCCAAAAUAAUCGGAAAGAUUGUGUCCACAGCUCUCUUCCACCUCAAGGACUUUAUUUCGGCUAAUUAAUCCAGUUCGUCUUCAUCACUACAUAGGGACCAGCCGAUUGAAUCUCCUUUAUCUUGGAUUGCGCCCCCAGGUAAUUUGAUCAAAGUGAAUUUUGAUGCAGCAGUAGAUGCUCAUGGAGAAAAGGGAGCCAUAGCAGUGGUUGCCAGGGAUUCAAUUGGUAAAUCCCUGGAUUGGAAUUAUCAAGUUUUCAGGUCUAUUUUUGAUCCCUCGAUUCCAAUCCAGGGAAAGAUUGUGUCCACAGCUCUCUUCCACCUCAAGGACUUUAUUUCGGCUAAUUAAUCCAGUUCGUCUUCAUCACUACAUAGGGACCAGCCGAUUGAAUCUCCUUUAUCUUGGAUUGCGCCCCCAGGUAAUUUGAUCAAAGUGAAUUUUGAUGCAGCAGUAGAUGCUCAUGGAGAAAAGGGAGCCAUAGCAGUGGUUGCCAGGGAUUCAAUUGGUAAAUCCCUGGAUUGGAAUUAUCAAGUUUUCAGGUCUAUUUUUGAUCCCU